Non-coding RNA from Pelodiscus sinensis (Chinese soft-shelled turtle), 236 nucleotides. The record is from RefSeq and is a predicted model, not a curated record. Lineage: Eukaryota; Metazoa; Chordata; Testudines; Trionychidae.
GUCAGAGAACCCUCUACUGGGAUGUGAUGCAGGAGAAUUAUGAGGCUGUGAGCUGGCUGGGAUUUCCAGUCUCUAAAGCUCAUGUGCUCUCCUGGGUGAAGCGAGGGGAGGAGCUACGGAUCCCAGAUCUCCAGGGCUGUGAGGAAGGAGAGGUGUGUGACAUCCACACAGCAGGUGAUGGGAUGCUGAGUGAGAACCAUGAGAAGAAUCUUCAGCAAGAAGAACCAGCGUGAAUG